AAAUCCGGCGAGAUCGCUAAACAUAUAUGUACAUUACCCCAAUCCCAAAGGGAUCAAAACUACAUUGAGAGCGCACUCUCGAAGAAACUAGUGAAACUAUGGGCGCAAACGCCCGGCGCUGCUCUUGGGCCGUCCGCCUCCCAGGUGACUCCACCGCGGAGCUUGAAGCCACCUGCUUCGCCUCGCCACUCCUCCACUCGAUCACAAUGAUGCCAAGCCAGACGAACACCAUGUCGAUCUAGCUCAACGUCGUCGCAGCCAAGCGGUCCAACUCGAGCACGAUGACCCGGCGUCGCUCAUGGGUCACUCGCCUCCAAGGUGACUCCACUGCACAAGCUGAAGCCACCUGUUACGCCCCAAGACGUGAUGCUGUGUCUUGGAGCGCCUACCUCCCCAGUGUACUUCCAGCACUAAGUCAGUGCCCAUUGCGAACAAACUCCAAGGCGUAGAACAAGCAAGGUGUGAGCCUCCUCCAGCUCUAGACUAGAGCGUGCUACCUUGCCUCCCACACUAGACAAGUGCGCUGGCCCCCUUCAAUGAUAUACAAGCCCCCGUUGCCGGCAUCGCGACAAUCACAAGACUUGCAAGCCUCCGCAAACCUCCUCAAAGGACUAGCCCUGAAGCAAGAACCAUGUGGGAUUCCCUCCGCGAGCAAACCAACUCGGCCAUCCGCCACUGGCCCCCUUUGUGACAGCACUUCCCUGUCACUAGAUCCAAAAAUGCGCCCAUAGUGUCUUCCACGUCCAUCCACCACGGACACUUCGCUAUGUCGGGAUGUCGUCCCGAACUGUCCUCCACCAGUCAACAAAGAUCCCAUGACUUGGUCGUGUUUCCACGACUCAAGUCGCCAAGAACUUCCGACACAUGCAGCUUCACGCUCUCCGUACCUUAGUCGCCACCUUGCAUGGCCCGACCUAAGGCGAGAAAUCCCGCUCGAAGCUGCAAGACCAGCAACCGUCGCGUUUCCACCAUGUUGCUGCCGUGCCAACCACACAAAAUCCGGCGAGAUCGCUAAACAUAUAUGUACAUUACCCCAAUCCCAAAGGGAUCAAAACUACAUUGAGAGCGCACUCUCGAAGAAACUAGUGAAACUAUGAGCGCGAACGCCCGGCGCUGCUCUUGGGCCGUCCGCCUCCCAGGUGACUCCACCGCGGAGCUUGAAGCCACCUGCUUCGCCUCGCCACUCCUCCACUCGAUCACAAUGAUGCCAAGCCAGACGAACACCAUGUCGAUCUAGCUCGACGUCGUCGCAGCCAAGCGGUCCAACUCGAGCACGAUGACCCAGCGUCGCUCAUGGGUCACUCGCCUCCAAGGUGACUCCACUGCACAAGCUGAAGCCACCUGUUACG
This 1349-nucleotide long non-coding RNA is filed under the name Selaginella moellendorffii. Its description in RNAcentral is "long non-coding RNA (SMOE_LNC001839)". Lineage: Eukaryota; Viridiplantae; Streptophyta; Lycopodiopsida; Selaginellales; Selaginellaceae. The record is from RNAcentral.